UUAUCAAUAAAAUUUAUUUUAUAAAAAAAGAAUGAGUUUCUGCUGUAGAUCUAAGGACCAUAUUUGGAGAAAGCUUCCUCGAGUCUUACUUUAUUUAAAUUCAUUAGUGAAAAUGUAUGCAGAAUAUUAAUGGACUUGGCAGGGUUUGAGGGAAAUAACAGUUUCUCUUCAAACUGGAGGUGUUAUGUACAUGUCUAAUGGAGAAGGAUUUCUGUUUGUGCAUGCACAAAAUUUCCCUCUUCCCAUACAAUACUAGCAAAUUGAGAAUUUUCAACCUUUU
Perognathus longimembris pacificus (Pacific pocket mouse) is the source of this 280-nucleotide long non-coding RNA. RefSeq lists it as uncharacterized. The transcript has 4 exons. The record is from RefSeq and is a predicted model, not a curated record. Lineage: Eukaryota; Metazoa; Chordata; Mammalia; Rodentia; Heteromyidae.